This is a long non-coding RNA of Drosophila mojavensis, 622 nucleotides long. RefSeq lists it as uncharacterized. The transcript is spliced from 2 exons. The record is from RefSeq and is a predicted model, not a curated record. Lineage: Eukaryota; Metazoa; Arthropoda; Insecta; Diptera; Drosophilidae.
CAUUUGGAAGACUGUUUUAACAGAAAUCGUCUUUAUGAGUCUUUUUUGAGUCCCCUUGACGAUUAAAAAACGACUAAUCUCCUGGGCGAUUGAAAGAAGACUCAUAAAUGACCCAUCCAUAUGCUCAAAGUAUGAUUACUUUAAAAUACAAAAACGAAAUGCAAAGCAAUCGCCAAAUGAGCAUGCAGGUGAUUAAAAUAUUAUCAUUGCUUGGUUUUGCUUUGUUACUAUGCACUCAUAUUCUGCUCGCUUGGCUGAUCGAAAAGCGAUUCUUAUCUAAGCUUAUAUCUAAGUUAAACGGUACUUUUUCUUAAGCACAAGCCGAAAUGUGCAAAUUUUGUCAUUCGAGCGUGAAUGUGCAAAUGAAGUGCAAGUGCGAAGUGCAUACAAAUAAAUUAUAUCAAUUAUAUCAAACAUAUAAUAUCGAGAGUUGGAGGAGAUGGGCCCACACAAUUUGUUAGAGCUGCGAUCAGAAAAGUUUUUUCGGACAAGGUAGCUUCCGAAUACAGCUGGAAGGGGACAAAAAUUAAACCAUCAGCAGAAAGGUGUUACAUUAUAGCCGUAAUAAAAAGAUUUAAAUACGGUGCUACAAAAGCAUUUUGUCCAUGCCAAUGACAGGCUG